RNAcentral lists this ribosomal RNA (475 nucleotides) under uncultured bacterium. RNAcentral's name for it is "bacterial SSU rRNA". It matches the Rfam family "Bacterial small subunit ribosomal RNA", at positions 13 to 527 of the family's 1533-position model. The record is from RNAcentral.
UUGAUCCUGGCUCAGAACCGAACGCUGGCUGGCAGGCCUAACACAUGCAAGUCGAACGAAGCCUUCGGGCUUAGUGGCGAACGGGUUAGUAACGCGUGGGAACGUGCCCUUCACUACGGAAUAGUCCCGGGAAACUGGGUUUAAUACCGUAUACGCCCUUCGGGGGAAAGAAUUUCGGUGAAGGAUCGGACCGCGUUGGAUUAGGUAGUUGGUGGGGUAAUGGCCUACCAAGCCGACGAUCCAUAGCUGGUUUGAGAGGAUGAUCAGCAACACUGGGACUGAGACACGGCCCAGACUCCUACGGGAGGCAGCAGUGGGGAAUCUUAGACAAUGGGGGAAACCCUGAUCUACGCCAUGCCGCGUGAGUGACGAAGGCCCUAGGGUCGUAAAGCUCUUUCAGCUGUGAACGAUAAUGACGGUAGCAGACCAGUNAGAAACCCCGGCUAACUCCGUGCCAGACAGCCGCGGUAAUACG